Molecule: RNase P RNA, 393 nt
Filed under: Sphingomonas sp. BK580
Lineage: Bacteria; Pseudomonadati; Pseudomonadota; Alphaproteobacteria; Sphingomonadales; Sphingomonadaceae
Description: RNase P class A
Rfam family: Bacterial RNase P class A
About the family: Ribonuclease P (RNase P) is a ubiquitous endoribonuclease, found in archaea, bacteria and eukarya as well as chloroplasts and mitochondria. Its best characterised activity is the generation of mature 5'-ends of tRNAs by cleaving the 5'-leader elements of precursor-tRNAs. Cellular RNase Ps are ribonucleoproteins.
Source: RNAcentral
CCAGGGGGCCGGGCGGCCGCGUCACGCGUCAGCGUGCCGAGGAAAGUCCGGGCUCCACGGAACGACGGUGGCGGGUAACGCCCGCCGGCCAAGGGCGCGAGCCCGCGGUCAGGGACAGUGCAACAGAGAGCAGACGGCCACGGCUUCGGCCGGGCCAAGGUGAAAGGGUGCGGUAAGAGCGCACCGCGCGGCCGGCAACGGUCGUGGCACGGUAAACCCCACCGGGAGCAAGACCGAAUAGGGGCGGCAGGGGCGCGUUCGCGCGCCCGGGGCGUGUUCCCGCUCGCCGCCCGGGUUGGUUGCUGGAGCGCGUCGGCGACGGCGCGCCGAGAGGAAUGGUCGCCCAGUCCCGAGAGGGAUGGACAGAACCCGGCUUACAGGCCCCCUGGCAUU